AGGCAUUGAGGCAGCCAGCGCAGGGGCUUCUGCUGAGGGGGCAGGCGGAGCUUGAGGAAACCGCAGAUAAGUUUUUUUCUCUUUGAAAGAUAGAGAUUAAUACAACUACUUAAAAAAUAUAGUCAAUAGGUUACUAAGAUAUUGCUUAGCGUUAAGUUUUUAACGUAAUUUUAAUAGCUUAAGAUUUUAAGAGAAAAUAUGAAGACUUAGAAGAGUAGCAUGAGGAAGGAAAAGAUAAAAGGUUUCUAAAACAUGACGGAGGUUGAGAUGAAGCUUCUUCAUGGAGUAAAAAAUGUAUUUAAAAGAAAAUUGAGAGAAAGGACUACAGAGCCCCGAAUUAAUACCAAUAGAAGGGCAAUGCUUUUAGAUUAAAAUGAAGGUGACUUAAACAGCUUAAAGUUUAGUUUAAAAGUUGUAGGUGAUUAAAAUAAUUUGAAGGCGAUCUUUUAAAAAGAGAUUAAACCGAAGGUGAUUAAAAGACCUUGAAAUCCAUGACGCAGGGAGAAUUGCGUCAUUUAAAGCCUAGUUAACGCAUUUACUAAACGCAGACGAAAAUGGAAAGAUUAAUUGGGAGUGGUAGGAUGAAACAAUUUGGAGAAGAUAGAAGUUUGAAGUGGAAAACUGGAAGACAGAAGUACGGGAAGGCGAAGAAAAGAAUAGAGAAGAUAGGGAAAUUAGAAGAUAAAAACAUACUUUUAGAAGAAAAAAGAUAAAUUUAAACCUGAAAAGUAGGAAGCAGAAGAAAAAAGACAAGCUAGGAAACAAAAAGCUAAGGGCAAAAUGUACAAACUUAGAAGAAAAUUGGAAGAUAGAAACAAGAUAGAAAAUGAAAAUAUUGUCAAGAGUUUCAGAUAGAAAAUGAAAAACAAGCUAAGACAAGUAUUGGAGAAGUAUAGAAGAUAGAAAAAUAUAAAGCCAAAAAUUGGAUAAAAUAGCACUGAAAAAAUGAGGAAAUUAUUGGUAACCAAUUUAUUUUAAAAGCCCAUCAAUUUAAUUUCUGGUGGUGCAGAAGUUAGAAGGUAAAGCUUGAGAAGAUGAGGGUGUUUACGUAGACCAGAACCAAUUUAGAAGAAUACUUGAAGCUAGAAGGGGAAGUUGGUUAAAAAUCACAUCAAAAAGCUACUAAAAGGACUGGUGUAAUUUAAAAAAAACUAAGGCAGAAGGCUUUUGGAAGAGUUAGAAGAAUUUGGAAGGCCUUAAAUAUAGUAGCUUAGUUUGAAAAAUGUGAAGGACUUUCGUAACGGAAGUAAUUCAAGAUCAAGAGUAAUUACCAACUUAAUGUUUUUGCAUUGGACUUUGAGUUAAGAUUAUUUUUUAAAUCCUGAGGACUAGCAUUAAUUGACAGCUGACCCAGGUGCUACACAGAAGUGGAUUCAGUGAAUCUAGGAAGACAGCAGCAGACAGGAUUCCAGGAACCAGUGUUUGAUGAAGCUAGGACUGAGGAGCAAGCGAGCAAGCAGCAGUUCGUGGUGAAGAUAGGAAAAGAGUCCAGGAGCCAGUGCGAUUUGGUGAAGGAAGCUAGGAAGAAGGAAGGAGCGCUAACGAUUUGGUGGUGAAGCUAGGAAAAAGGAUUCCAGGAAGGAGCGAGUGCAAUUUGGUGAUGAAGGUAGCAGGCGGCUUGGCUUGGCAACCACACGGAGGAGGCGAGCAGGCGUUGUGCGUAGAGGAUCCUAGACCAGCAUGCCAGUGUGCCAAGGCCACAGGGAAAGCGAGUGGUUGGUAAAAAUCCGUGAGGUCGGCAAUAUGUUGUUUUUCUGGAACUUACUUAUGGUAACCUUUUAUUUAUUUUCUAAUAUAAUGGGGGAGUUUCGUACUGAGGUGUAAAGGGAUUUAUAUGGGGACGUAGGCCGAUUUCCGGGUGUUGUAGGUUUCUCUUUUUCAGGCUUAUACUCAUGAAUCUUGUCUGAAGCUUUUGAGGGCAGACUGCCAAGUCCUGGAGAAAUAGUAGAUGGCAAGUUUGUGGGUUUUUUUUUUUUACACGAAUUUGAGGAAAACCAAAUGAAUUUGAUAGCCAAAUUGAGACAAUUUCAGCAAAUCUGUAAGCAGUUUGUAUGUUUAGUUGGGGUAAUGAAGUAUUUCAGUUUUGUGAAUAGAUGACCUGUUUUUACUUCCUCACCCUGAAUUCGUUUUGUAAAUGUAGAGUUUGGAUGUGUAACUGAGGCGGGGGGGAGUUUUCAGUAUUUUUUUUUGUGGGGGUGGGGGCAAAAUAUGUUUUCAGUUCUUUUUCCCUUAGGUCUGUCUAGAAUCCUAAAGGCAAAUGACUCAAGGUGUAACAGAAAACAAGAAAAUCCAAUAUCAGGAUAAUCAGACCACCACAGGUUUACAGUUUAUAGAAACUAGAGCAGUUCUCACGUUGAGGUCUGUGGAAGAGAUGUCCAUUGGAGAAAUGGCUGGUAGUUACUCUUUUUUCCCCCCACCCCCUUAAUCAGACUUUAAAAGUGCUUAACCCCUUAAACUUGUUAUUUUUUACUUGAAGCAUUUUGGGAUGGUCUUAACAGGGAAGAGAGAGGGUGGGGGAGAAAAUGUUUUUUUCUAAGAUUUUCCACAGAUGCUAUAGUACUAUUGACAAACUGGGUUAGAGAAGGAGUGUACCGCUGUGCUGUUGGCACGAACACCUUCAGGGACUGGAGCUGCUUUUAUCCUUGGAAGAGUAUUCCCAGUUGAAGCUGAAAAGUACAGCACAGUGCAGCUUUGGUUCAUAUUCAGUCAUCUCAGGAGAACUUCAGAAGAGCUUGAGUAGGCCAAAUGUUGAAGUUAAGUUUUCCAAUAAUGUGACUUCUUAAAAGUUUUAUUAAAGGGGAGGGGCAAAUAUUGGCAAUUAGUUGGCAGUGGCCUGUUACGGUUGGGAUUGGUGGGGUGGGUUUAGGUAAUUGUUUAGUUUAUGAUUGCAGAUAAACUCAUGCCAGAGAACUUAAAGUCUUAGAAUGGAAAAAGUAAAGAAAUAUCAACUUCCAAGUUGGCAAGUAACUCCCAAUGAUUUAGUUUUUUUCCCCCCAGUUUGAAUUGGGAAGCUGGGGGAAGUUAAAUAUGAGCCACUGGGUGUACCAGUGCAUUAAUUUGGGCAAGGAAAGUGUCAUAAUUUGAUACUGUAUCUGUUUUCCUUCAAAGUAUAGAGCUUUUGGGGAAGGAAAGUAUUGAACUGGGGGUUGGUCUGGCCUACUGGGCUGACAUUAACUACAAUUAUGGGAAAUGCAAAAGUUGUUUGGAUAUGGUAGUGUGUGGUUCUCUUUUGGAAUUUUUUUCAGGUGAUUUAAUAAUAAUUUAAAACUACUAUAGAAACUGCAGAGCAAAGGAAGUGGCUUAAUGAUCCUGAAGGGAUUUCUUCUGAUGGUAGCUUUUGUAUUAUCAAGUAAGAUUCUAUUUUCAGUUGUGUGUAAGCAAGUUUUUUUUUAGUGUAGGAGAAAUACUUUUCCAUUGUUUAACUGCAAAACAAGAUGUUAAGGUAUGCUUCAAAAAUUUUGUAAAUUGUUUAUUUUAAACUUAUCUGUUUGUAAAUUGUAACUGAUUAAGAAUUGUGAUAGUUCAGCUUGAAUGUCUCUUAGAGGGUGGGCUUUUGUUGAUGAGGGAGGGGAAACUUUUUUUUUUUCUAUAGACUUUUUUCAGAUAACAUCUUCUGAGUCAUAACCAGCCUGGCAGUAUGAUGGCCUAGAUGCAGAGAAAACAGCUCCUUGGUGAAUUGAUAAGUAAAGGCAGAAAAGAUUAUAUGUCAUACCUCCAUUGGGGAAUAAGCAUAACCCUGAGAUUCUUACUACUGAUGAGAACAUUAUCUGCAUAUGCCAAAAAAUUUUAAGCAAAUGAAAGCUACCAAUUUAAAGUUACGGAAUCUACCAUUUUAAAGUUAAUUGCUUGUCAAGCUAUAACCACAAAAAUAAUGAAUUGAUGAGAAAUACAAUGAAGAGGCAAUGUCCAUCUCAAAAUACUGCUUUUACAAAAGCAGAAUAAAAGCGAAAAGAAAUGAAAAUGUUACACUACAUUAAUCCUGGAAUAAAAGAAGCCGAAAUAAAUGAGAGAUGAGUUGGGAUCAAGUGGAUUGAGGAGGCUGUGCUGUGUGCCAAUGUUUCGUUUGCCUCAGACAGGUAUCUCUUCGUUAUCAGAAGAGUUGCUUCAUUUCAUCUGGGAGCAGAAAACAGCAGGCAGCUGUUAACAGAUAAGUUUAACUUGCAUCUGCAGUAUUGCAUGUUAGGGAUAAGUGCUUAUUUUUAAGAGCUGUGGAGUUCUUAAAUAUCAACCAUGGCACUUUCUCCUGACCCCUUCCCUAGGGGAUUUCAGGAUUGAGAAAUUUUUCCAUCGAGCCUUUUUAAAAUUGUAGGACUUGUUCCUGUGGGCUUCAGUGAUGGGAUAGUACACUUCACUCAGAGGCAUUUGCAUCUUUAAAUAAUUUCUUAAAAGCCUCUAAAGUGAUCAGUGCCUUGAUGCCAACUAAGGAAAUUUGUUUAGCAUUGAAUCUCUGAAGGCUCUAUGAAAGGAAUAGCAUGAUGUGCUGUUAGAAUCAGAUGUUACUGCUAAAAUUUACAUGUUGUGAUGUAAAUUGUGUAGAAAACCAUUAAAUCAUUCAAAAUAAUAAACUAUUUUUAUUAGAGAAUGUAUACUUUUAGAAAGCUGUCUCCUUAUUUAAAUAAAAUAGUGUUUGUCUGUAGUUCAGUGUUGGGGCAAUCUUGGGGGGGAUUCUUCUCUAAUCUUUCAGAAACUUUGUCUGCGAACACUCUUUAAUGGACCAGAUCAGGAUUUGAGCGGAAGAACGAAUGUAACUUUAAGGCAGGAAAGACAAAUUUUAUUCUUCAUAAAGUGAUGAGCAUAUAAUAAUUCCAGGCACAUGGCAAUAGAGGCCCUCUAAAUAAGGAAUAAAUAACCUCUUAGACAGGUGGGAGAUUAUGAUCAGAGUAAAAGGUAAUUACACAUUUUAUUUCCAGAAAGUCAGGGGUCUAUAAAUUGACAGUGAUUAGAGUAAUACUUUUUCACAUUUCCAAAGUUUGCAUGUUAACUUUAAAUGCUUACAAUCUUAGAGUGGUAGGCAAUGUUUUACACUAUUGACCUUAUAUAGGGAAGGGAGGGGGUGCCUGUGGGGUUUUAAAGAAUUUUCCUUUGCAGAGGCAUUUCAUCCUUCAUGAAGCCAUUCAGGAUUUUGAAUUGCAUAUGAGUGCUUGGCUCUUCCUUCUGUUCUAGUGAGUGUAUGAGACCUUGCAGUGAGUUUAUCAGCAUACUCAAAAUUUUUUUCCUGGAAUUUGGAGGGAUGGGAGGAGGGGGUGGGGCUUACUUGUUGUAGCUUUUUUUUUUUUUACAGACUUCACAGAGAAUGCAGUUGUCUUGACUUCAGGUCUGUCUGUUCUGUUGGCAAGUAAAUGCAGUACUGUUCUGAUCCCGCUGCUAUUAGAAUGCAUUGUGAAACGACUGGAGUAUGAUUAAAAGUUGUGUUCCCCAAUGCUUGGAGUAGUGAUUGUUGAAGGAAAAAAUCCAGCUGAGUGAUAAAGGCUGAGUGUUGAGGAAAUUUCUGCAGUUUUAAGCAGUCGUAUUUGUGAUUGAAGCUGAGUACAUUUUGCUGGUGUAUUUUUAGGUAAAAUGCUUUUUGUUCAUUUCUGGUGGUGGGAGGGGACUGAAGCCUUUAGUCUUUUCCAGAUGCAACCUUAAAAUCAGUGACAAGAAACAUUCCAAACAAGCAACAGUCUUCAAGAAAUUAAACUGGCAAGUGGAAAUGUUUAAACAGUUCAGUGAUCUUUAGUGCAUUGUUUAUGUGUGGGUUUCUCUCUCCCCUCCCUUGGUCUUAAUUCUUACAUGCAGGAACACUCAGCAGACACACGUAUGCGAAGGGCCAGAGAAGCCAGACCCAGUAAGAAAAAAUAGCCUAUUUACUUUAAAUAAACCAAACAUUCCAUUUUAAAUGUGGGGAUUGGGAACCACUAGUUCUUUCAGAUGGUAUUCUUCAGACUAUAGAAGGAGCUUCCAGUUGAAUUCACCAGUGGACAAAAUGAGGAAAACAGGUGAACAAGCUUUUUCUGUAUUUACAUACAAAGUCAGAUCAGUUAUGGGACAAUAGUAUUGAAUAGAUUUCAGCUUUAUGCUGGAGUAACUGGCAUGUGAGCAAACUGUGUUGGCGUGGGGGUGGAGGGGUGAGGUGGGCGCUAAGCCUUUUUUUAAGAUUUUUCAGGUACCCCUCACUAAAGGCACCGAAGGCUUAAAGUAGGACAACCAUGGAGCCUUCCUGUGGCAGGAGAGACAACAAAGCGCUAUUAUCCUAAGGUCAAGAGAAGUGUCAGCCUCACCUGAUUUUUAUUAGUAAUGAGGACUUGCCUCAACUCCCUCUUUCUGGAGUGAAGCAUCCGAAGGAAUGCUUGAAGUACCCCUGGGCUUCUCUUAACAUUUAAGCAAGCUGUUUUUAUAGCAGCUCUUAAUAAUAAAGCCCAAAUCUCAAGCGGUGCUUGAAGGGGAGGGAAAGGGGGAAAGCGGGCAACCACUUUUCCCUAGCUUUUCCAGAAGCCUGUUAAAAGCAAGGUCUCCCCACAAGCAACUUCUCUGCCACAUCGCCACCCCGUGCCUUUUGAUCUAGCACAGACCCUUCACCCCUCACCUCGAUGCAGCCAGUAGCUUGGAUCCUUGUGGGCAUGAUCCAUAAUCGGUUUCAAGGUAACGAUGGUGUCGAGGUCUUUGGUGGGUUGAACUAUGUUAGAAAAGGCCAUUAAUUUGCCUGCAAAUUGUUAACAGAAGGGUAUUAAAACCACAGCUAAGUAGCUCUAUUAUAAUACUUAUCCAGUGACUAAAACCAACUUAAACCAGUAAGUGGAGAAAUAACAUGUUCAAGAACUGUAAUGCUGGGUGGGAACAUGUAACUUGUAGACUGGAGAAGAUAGGCAUUUGAGUGGCUGAGAGGGCUUUUGGGUGGGAAUGCAAAAAUUCUCUGCUAAGACUUUUUCAGGUGAACAUAACAGACUUGGCCAAGCUAGCAUCUUAGCGGAAGCUGAUCUCCAAUGCUCUUCAGUAGGGUCAUGAAGGUUUUUCUUUUCCUGAGAAAACAACACGUAUUGUUUUCUCAGGUUUUGCUUUUUGGCCUUUUUCUAGCUUAAAAAAAAAAAAAGCAAAAGAUGCUGGUGGUUGGCACUCCUGGUUUCCAGGACGGGGUUCAAAUCCCUGCGGCGUCUUUGCUUUGACUACUAAUCUGUCUUCAGGACUCUUUCUGUAUUUCUCCUUUUCUCUGCAGGUGCUAGUUCUUGGAGUUUUGGGGAGGUGGGAGGUAACAGCACAAUAUCUUUGAACUAUAUACAUCCUUGAUGUAUAAUUUGUCAGGAGCUUGACUUGAUUGUAUAUUCAUAUUUACACGAGAACCUAAUAUAACUGCCUUGUCUUUUUCAGGUAAUAGCCUGCAGCUGGUGUUUUGAGAAGCCCUACUGCUGAAAACUUAACAAUUUUGUGUAAUAAAAAUGGAGAAGCUC
This 7421-nucleotide long non-coding RNA is filed under the name Homo sapiens (human). The record is from RNAcentral. Lineage: Eukaryota; Metazoa; Chordata; Mammalia; Primates; Hominidae.